RNAcentral lists this ribosomal RNA (629 nucleotides) under Rathbunixa pearsei. RNAcentral's name for it is "partial 16S ribosomal RNA". It matches the Rfam family "Bacterial large subunit ribosomal RNA", at positions 1831 to 2723 of the family's 2925-position model. Lineage: Eukaryota; Metazoa; Arthropoda; Malacostraca; Decapoda; Pinnotheridae. The record is from RNAcentral.
GUCUGCUUGGAGCUAUAAGAAGUCUAGCCUGCUCUCUGAUGAAUUUAAGGGCCGCGGUAAUUUGACCGUGCAAAGGUAGCAUAAUAGUUAGUUUUUUAAUUGGGAUCUUGUAUGAAUGGUUGGACAAAAGAAAUACUGUCUCUAAUAUUUUAUUUGAAUUUAACUUUUAAGUGAAAAGGCUUAAAUAAAUUAAAAAGACGAUAAGACCCUAUAAAGCUUUAUAAAAAAUUUUAUUUGAUUAAAUUAAAUAAUAAAAUUUUAAUAUCUGAUUUUAUUUUAUUGGGGAGAUAAAAUUAUAAUUUUAAAUAACUGAUUAAGUAGAAAACAAAAAUAUAUGUAUAUAAACUUUAAAUGAUCCUUAUUAAAGAUUAAAAGUUUAAGUUACUUUAGGGAUAACAGCGUUAUUUUUCUUGAGAGUUCAUAUCGAAAGAAAAGAUUGCGACCUCGAUGUUGAAUUAAAAUUUCUAAGUUAUUGCAGAAGUCACUUUAGAAGGUCUGUUCGACCUUUAAAUUUUUACAUGAUUUGAGUUCAGACCGGCGUAAGCCAGGUUGGUUUCUAUCUUUUAAGAAAAAACAAAUUAUCUUAGUACGAAAGGAUUUGAUAAUUAAAUUUAUUUUUAAUUUGGUAA